GUGAACAUGUGAAAGAGAAAAAGUUAACCCUCCUCUUGACAAGGGUGGAAAAAGCCAUUGAUACUGACAACAUAUAUAUGUUUAAGGUACUGCCAAUUACUUUGUGUUGUUUAAAUAAUGUUUUCU
Small nuclear RNA from Perognathus longimembris pacificus (Pacific pocket mouse), 126 nucleotides. NCBI's taxonomy places the organism in Eukaryota, Metazoa, Chordata, Mammalia, Rodentia, Heteromyidae. The record is from RefSeq and is a predicted model, not a curated record.